Molecule: long non-coding RNA, 6654 nt
Filed under: Lactuca sativa (garden lettuce)
Lineage: Eukaryota; Viridiplantae; Streptophyta; Magnoliopsida; Asterales; Asteraceae
Description: long non-coding RNA (LSAT_LNC005697)
Source: RNAcentral
CCUAGUCAGAUUACAGUAUAGCUUAGGUAAGUUGGGUGUCGAUCACAGGGAACGGUGGUGAAUUAAUUUAAAAUAUUUGAUUAUAGGUUACAGGUCACAUGAAAAGAAUAAAGAAAUAGUUUAAUGAAUCUCAAACUAACAAUUAAUUAACAACUUUCGAUAAACUAACAGGAAAACAAAUCUCUUCAGGUACUUUGGUUUAGAUAAAUUACGCCUUAAAAACAUAGACAAUUGCAUACACAAAUUCAUUUAUUCAUGUUCACCGAUUCCUAAAAUGAUUAGAUUCGCGUUCACUAUAACUAAUCCUUUAGCAAACAAGUCAAUUGAAACAGUGAUCAGUUGAUUAAACUAACAUGCUUCCUAGUGUUCAGUUCGUAUCAAGCAAGACUUGUAAAUAUAGUUAAUCAAAUUACUAAAUCAAAUUAACCUCUUGUUGAUGGUCAUCAAACAAGGCUCACACAUUAACUUACUUAUUCCCAAGUUAAUCCUAGUUUCACAAUCGUUAUUCCUAGACUUAUAAUCUUGAUGGUCAUCAAAAUCAUAAGCAACAAGCAAUCAAGCAGACGUUCAUACAACUUAAUUUACUUAAUAAUUAACAGCAAAUAAUUAUCAUUAACAUGUAAGGAUCUUUUAACAAGCUUGGCAAGAUAAAUUAAACAUAAACAAACAAUUCAAUAUAGCAAUUAGUCUAAUAAUCAAAGUUUCAUUCAAUCAUAAACGCAAAGUAAAAGGUUUUUACACCCAAAUCAGAAACUAAAUACAGAAUAGUAACACAAUGGAAUGCUAAACAUGGUCACGUUAACAACCCAUAUGAUUACCGACAUGUAUCCGCUCUCCAACCCUUCCGAUCUCCGCUCCCGUUAGCUUAACGGCCUUCCGGCCGCCUUCUAGACCCUCAAAACGGCUUAACAGAAGUUUAAUAUCGACUAAAUUAGGUUGGAAGUCGAAUCCCCCCUUAUGGUUAGCUGAUAAUCGACUUUUAUACGCGAUUGGAGUUAUCUGAUUCCAGUCGUUACGCGGGGCGUACACAAGAAUUACGAUUGGCGUAACUCGUCCUAGCCAUUACGCUUGGCAUACAAGUAAAUUACGCGGGGCGUAAAUGGCUUCUCAACAUUUUUCCUUUCUUUUAUCUUCUAAGCCCAAUUUCCGCCUCAGUCUUUUCUUUUGUGCUUUAUCGUCAACGAAUAGCUGCAAAACAUAAUUUAAAGCAUUGUGAGUACUUCUUAGUUCUAAAAAAGAAUAAUAAAGGCCAAAAUAUUAAGAUAUAAUGUAUAAAAAUAUAUAUAAAAAUACACAUAUCAAAAUACCCCACACUUAGCCUUUGCUUGCCCCCAAGCAAAUUUUAAUUUUAUUUUACCAAUAUCGCAUUAAACAAUCCAUUUAAAACUCAGCUAUUAUGCCAAGACCUCAACGCAUGCAUUUGUGUCUAAAAUUUUCCUAAAGUACCCCCAUACUUUAAAUACUCACAAUCUUCAUAAACACUCACCCACUUUUUCCGAACAAUGUUCAUUUUAUGCAACCAUCCGAAUCCAUCCGCAGAAAACCUCCUUAUCCUCAAGGUAUUUUUAGUUGAGCAACCUAAGCAUACAUAAUCUAGAAUUACAAUCUAUGAUACCACUAUGGAGCUCUUUUGGAAUUCUUCACUUCCUUGAUAAUUUGAUCUUUGAUUUCUUUGAAUUCACCACCUUAUUUGAUUUGAUUUCUGGUAUCUUCAACUUUUUUUUUUUGAAUUCUUGGAAUUUUGAUCUUUUGAUCUUCGCUUUUUUGCUCCAAAAUUCUUCAAACUUUUCUUGUAAUUCUCUCUCUUUUUUUUACAUGUACCUCACUUUUUUCACUCAAAACCUAAUGCUUAAGCAGAGGCGCUCAACCUCAACCUUUAUUGGUUAAUGAUAAUAAUUUUCCUGGAUACAUUUCAGGUUUAGGCUGCUAAACAUAUUGCAUCCCUCAAACCAAGCGGGGUUAUGUUUUUGUUCCAUGAUUUCACUAAAAUAAGGGAGGCCACAAAUGCACUAUAACGUGUAUUGGCUCAACUAAACAUUUGAACUUUCAUCGGAUCAUCCCACAUAAUACUAGCAAUUAUAGCUCAAAUUAUUAGUACUAGAUUCAAUUAAUUUUAAUUUUCCAAAUUUUCUAGCAAUUUACUUUUUCUACCCCUACCCCACACUUAUUUCAUACAAUGCCCUCAUUGUAUGUAUAAAACAAAUCAAAAUUAAAGACAAGGGAGAAAAAGGAACAGACUCCCCUGGGUAGUUGUGGCGAGAUCGAAUGGGGCUGCUACAAGUUGCUUCAAAUAUUGCUGAAAGAAUGAAAAUUGGAACUGUUGCUUCUAAAUUUGCCGAAAAAUAAAAUCAAGACUGCCGACUUCAAAAAAAUGUGGUGCAAAAGAUUGCAAACAAAUGCAAUGUAUAGUAACCAUGACGUGGGAAAGUGUCGACCACAUCAUGUCUUCAAAAAUGACAUCCUCUUCUCGCGAUGAAAAAUCCCCCACAACAUAGGAAAGUAUCAACCAUGUCAUGGCAGCCGGGAUGAUACGUCUUCCUCGCGUCAAAAUAGAACUCUAUGGUGUAGGAAUAGCUCAUCCAUACCAUAGGAGGUAAAAUAUCGUAAAAAUUCCAAUCGUCUAAACGAACGCUCACGAAAUCAAUAUGCACCCCACACUUACGACAAAUUGUGGGUCUUGACUAUACUCUUCGAACUCUCACACGGCUCUCUCUAGUAACAGUCGAACCUAGCUGCUGAACUUACUGCCAGCUUUCUAAGGGCGAAAAUUCUGCAGAGAUCUAAACAACCAAAGAGCAUCAACAUGGAAAACAAAAAUAAAACAUCCUAAAUUAAAGUUUAAUUACAUACCAAAUAAAAAACUAAAACUAGCAACACAAAAAUAAACUAAAAAUAACAUAAAAAUAAAAAGGAUAACUAAAUCACUCAUCAUCUCCAUCAUCAUGUUGCUGUGUCCCAGAAGUACCGGCCCCAUCNUCAUGUCGUGUGGAAUGGUGGAGGGUAGGGAACCGAGUACUGAAACCCCUGGUGGGCAAAGAAUGCGGUCAACGCAUCCCCAUACCACUGCUGUUGGCUGUCCACAUGUGCAACGUAUACUCACUAAGGUUCUGAACCCUCAUGUCAAGACGGUUAAUGCCCUGAGCUAGGUAGCGCAUGUCAAUCUCCGGCUCAGGUCCCUGUUGCGCUCCCGGAGGAGCAGGUCUACGCCGCUGGACCCAUCUCGGCUGUGGCUCGACGACACCCUCCUCGUCUGCCACAUCAUCUACUCGUACUCGCAAGAAACCAUCUCCGCCCCGCUCGAGUACACGCAUCGACUCCAACAGCUGAAGACUCAUCGGCCUCAUAUCAUGGAACACCAUCGAUCUCGUGAUCUCACGCGCCAACAACUGAUAUGACCGGGCUAAUCGCGUGAUAAAAUGCCCUCCGCAAAUCGGGCUAUCCUCCCGAAGUCCCCUGGCCCUCCGUCCCAAAUAUGAAACUAAAGCAACUGGAAGGUUCAAGUGCCUCCCUGGAGUAACAAGUGCCCAUAGGAAAUACAAGUUUGUCGAAGGCGCUCUCUCACUGUUCUUAUGAUGCGUGAGAGACAUAGAAAUCAACUGGUGCAGCAGUCUGUAUGUAGUAGACCGAAUCAUCCUACCCCGUGCAGUAGAUGGCGUAUACAGUCCUCCUGUAAUCUCGGCCCAAAAAGUGUUUUUGUUAUAAUCAUCUGGCCGCUCCGUGAGACAAUCAGCAAGCAAUGCCGGGAAGUGGACACUCCUCGUCUCAUCUGCUGUGUAUAUACCCACUCGAGUCGUAAGCUCUAUGACACUGCACUCCCGGCUCACACCCUCUAGUCUAAAGGCAAAAGUUGUCCUAUCAUCGGGUGACUUCCUAGGGUCAUAGGAAACUAUAGCGUAAAACUCCAGCAAAAAUUCCCGAUAAACAGGCUCCUGGAUCCUGAACAAUCGUGCCCAUCCCUGACAUACGAACAAAUCCACUCCACUCGCGUCCGAGUGCGUGUAUUGCAAAAAAUCCUGGAUCAGUGCAGCAAGUCCAGUCCGGGUCGCCAAUUCCCAAUCGAAUGAUGGUGCUAUGUCGAUCUCAUUGGUGAGCAGCAAACUCAAACUGUUGACAUAUCGUGCCCGGGUUGCAUCGUUCAGAGUUUGCGGAAAUUGUAAGAAACGGUGAUCGGUCACAUCCUCGGGUGGGUUGGUCCUUUGAGUUCUUCGGGCCAUAAUCUGCACAAAUAAACACAAAACCAAACAAAAUAUAACAACAUUAACAAAUUUUUUUUUAAACCAAAAAUCAUGGUCAUGGACUUGGUCUUUACGCUGGGCGUACAUCCAGCAUACGUUGGGCGUACGUCUAGGUUUAUGAAUCUGUCCCCCCCCCCAGCUUGUUAUAAUGUUAUAACUCAUAUCAAUUUUUUUUAAAUUAAGCAUAUAUGCAAGCAAUAAACACAGCAGGGGCAAACACAUGGGGCAUAUCGAGCAUACGGGAUUAUAUCAAAUAUACAGCCUCGUGGUCCAAGGCAGUAAAAAAAAAGGGACCACUCUUUGACUUAUAAAUCAAUCCCCUGUAAUCCCUUUGUCUAUUCAAAAUUAACAAACAUGUAACAAGGAAACUGCAUAAAAGCAGUCAAGACUCGAAGUCAAUAGAACAUACGCUAGGCGUCCGUCCCCGAGCUCAAAUCGAUGGGUCUAUCACGGGAUUAAGACCAAAUUGGGUACUAAAGUUUAGUUUAUUGAUAGAAAUCGGUCUUUUGAAGCCCUAAUCAAAACAUACAAUUGUGAAAUCGGCCCUAAUUCAAGAAACAUAUAAACCCUAGAUUUCGAACAAAGGUACUAUACAGCUAAUUCCAUCGAUUUAAACACAAAUCCAAAACAUUAAGUACCCGAAAAACUUACCUGUGUGCCGAAUUUGACAAGAAAAGAAGAAAAAUCGAAAAUCUUUGGGAGAGCUUGCCGUCACAGUUCGUGUGUGCGAAGGAAAGGAUUUUGAAAAAGUAACAAAAAAGUCAAGGGUCAAAAGAUAUAACCUGGUCGCCGAUUUACGCUGGGCGUAACCCCAACUCCGUGAAAAGUCAAUCCGCGAUCUGGGGUUUAUUACGCUUGGCGUAAUUAAACUUACGCUGGGCGUAAUGAAGUAUUCCUUUUUUUUUAAUUGAAAUUUCUUUUCUUUUAACUAUUUAAUUAAGGGACUUAAAACUUAAUUAUUUUUCUUUUUAAUUCCUUCAGCAACUGAUGACUUUCCGAUGAGUGACAUAAAAAAAUGAGACGUCAUAAUCACUUAUCUUUGUCAAGAUCAAACUACAAUGGUUGAUCAAAAACCUUUGCACGCAAGAAUUGGUUUGCGAAAACACCCACUUUCGGGACCCGUUAGAAUAUUUCCUUUGUUUUCUUCGCACCUUUAACUAAAAGCGGAACAAGAAGUGACCUAACUAGUCAAGAACAGCAAGAGCUCGGUCUUCCACUUAACCACCACAAUACGCCUUGCUAUACUACGCCUCAUGGAUUGAGUUGGACAAAUCAACAAAGUAGUAGGCUAACCAGGUCAAGAUUUCCCUAAUCGCUUGCAUUCUCAAAACCCAUGCAAAAAGUAAAGUCAAGCAAUGUGUACAAUCCCAAAUUCCUGCAAUUAACAACAAGAACCUUCCCGACAAGUGAAAUGAUAUCAUCGAAAAUAAACUCUAAAAUAAAAACUAACUAAACUAACUAUAAACAAAUAACAAAUAAGCAAAUAAACUAAAUUAAUGACAAUCCGUCCCCCGGCAACGGCACCAAAAACUUGAUGUGCACAAAAGUACCCACUAAUUUUAAUAUUUAUAACCUAACAAACUUAGACUAUCUAUGCACUUAUAGGCAGUGUACCUAGUCAGAUUACAGUAUAGCUUAGGUAAGUCGGGUGUCGAUCACAGGGAACGGUGGUGAAUUAAUUUAAUAUAUUUGAUUAUAGGUUACAGGUCACACGAAAAGAAUAAAGAAAUAGUUUAAUAAAUCUCAAACUAACAAUUAAUUAACAACUCUCGAUAAACUAACAGGAAAACAAAUCUCUUCAGGUACUUUGGUUUAGAUAAAUUACACCUUAAAAACAUAGACAAUUGCAUACACAAAUUCAUUUAUUCAUGUUCACCGAUUCCUAAAAUGAUUAGAUUCGCGUUCACUAUAACUAAUCCUUUAGCAAACAAGUCAAUUCAAACAGUGAUCAGUUGAUUAAACUAACAUGCUUCCUAGUGUUCAGUUCGUAUCAAGCAAGACUUGUAAAUAUAGUUAAUCAAAUUACUAAUUCAAAUUAACCUCUUGUUGAUGGUCAUCAAACAAGGCUCACACAUUAACUUACUUAUUCCCAAGUUAAUCCUAGUUUCACAUUCGUUAUUCCUAGACUUAUAAUCUCGAUGGUCAUCAAAAUCAUAAGCAACAAGCAAUCAAGCAGAUGUUCAUACAACUUAAUUUACUUAAUAAUUAACAGCAAAUAAUUAUCAUUAACACGUAAGGAUCUUUUAACAAGCUUGGAAAGAUAAAUUAAACAUAAACAAACAAUUCAAUAUAGCAAUUAGUCUAAUAAUCAAAGUUUCAUUCAAUCAUAAACGCAAAGUAAAAGGUUUUUACACCUAAAUCAGAAACUAAACACAUAAUAGUAUCACAAUGGAAUGCUAAACAUGGUCACGUUAACAAC